AACCUUAUAUCACGGGGGCCGGCCUUGAAUUGCUUGCGGUUCCAAUGCGACGGCUUUUGCCGAUCCAUUGUGAUACUCAGCUUUUCUCCCCGCCCUGCCGGAAUAUUACCCAUGAUUUUUGCGUACCCAUUGUUUCCUCGGUAGGCUUGCCUACCAGUAGGACCCUUUUUAAACCUUUUUGCAAUUGCAGUCAGCGUCAGAAAAAACUUAAUAGUUA
Molecule: unclassified non-coding RNA, 217 nt
Filed under: uncultured fungus
Lineage: Eukaryota; Fungi
Description: sequence contains ITS1, 5.8S rRNA gene
Source: RNAcentral